This is a non-coding RNA of Aegilops tauschii subsp. strangulata, 1893 nucleotides long. The record is from RefSeq and is a predicted model, not a curated record. Lineage: Eukaryota; Viridiplantae; Streptophyta; Magnoliopsida; Poales; Poaceae.
AUCAAUCCGCGAUCCGUUGUUCUAUCUUAUCCAGACUCUCCCUUCCCAGCCGCGGCGGAGCGCGAGAAGGCGGAGGAGCGGCGGAGCACGAGAAGGUGAGGGGCGGCGCCGGCGGCGACAGCUUCGGGUGGGCGAGCGUGCUGGAGGAUGCUUCGCGGAAGGUGGCGGAAGAAGAAAAGGACCCAACCCAAAAUCCCCAACACGUCCAUCCCCCACCUACCCCAUCGUCUUCCUACCCCGACUCCGUCCCAGCCAAUCGGCGAUGUGCGCCGCCCCCGGCCAUGCGGCGCUCGCCUCCUGCCGGCCACGCGCCCCAGCGACUCCUCCCUGGUCCACUCCGGCGAGUCGCGCCGCCCCGGACCACGUUUGGAGACAUAGGGGCUCUCACGAACUAGGGUUGGAGCUGCCGCCUCUCCAGCCUGCCCGCCGGCGGCGCCUCAACUAUGAGCCACCUCCAAACAGGCAUCUCUCCUCUCCCUGCUUCGCUUCGUCCGUUGUCGCCUCGCAUUGUUGCUUCCCCGGCACCCAGGUCACCGCUGCACCCCCGCCUUGCCCGGCCUCUCCUACGGCCCUGGCCUCCCGCUCUUCACUCCUCUGCCCAGCGGCGGGAAGUAGCAGACGUUGGAGUCCUCACUGGUGAUUCAGACUUUGUCAUCGGGACAGAUGAAGCAAAGAAAACAGAUGACAUCACUGAACUGAACAUUGCAGAGGAUUUUGAUAACCGACCUUCAAAAAGGGCAACACCGUCCGCUCGUGCACCGCCGGCUUCGCUGGACCUCCGUAAUCCCGUGCUCUGCCCUUCACUGGAGCUCUGUCUCGCCGUGCUUCACCUGAGGUAAAAGUGGUAGUGGUGUUUGAUGCUGCACUGUCUGGGCAAUCUACACACACUGUAACUUAUAAAGGGGUUGAUGUGGUAUAUUCUUCUGACUUAUCUUCUGAUUCUUGGAUCAAGGAGAUGAACCAAAUUGUCAAGUUUUUUGUCAGAAGAAACUAAUGAAGGAUGCCCUGAGAGUUCCUAGCUUAUUGUCCCAUGCAUUCACAUCAGUGAAAGGUUUGUCCAAAGAUUUAAUUUUAUUAAUAGGCAAAAGUCCCUGGUUCCAUGAAGAAUGUGUAUCUGACCUUUUAAGAUUAUUUCUAUAGUGUUAGGUUAAGUAUACACACACACACACACACAUUAUUGUUGGUGGUUUUGCCUUAUGACAAAAGUAGCUUAUUUUUGCAGAAUAAAGUAUUACUUCAUCAGCAAGAAUUACAUGCUCCCUCCGUUAAUGUUAUUUAUUUAAUGGCCGACAAAAUAAUGGUUUACAGGUGCAUGAUUAAACGAAGACUCGAGGGAGAAGGUAGUAUUAUUAGCUUCUAAGUUACACUUUCUGUGCUUAUAUCAAAUUAUGGAUCUUCUCUUUGUUGCCAACACCAACUCCCUACCUUUGCCAACAAAAAAUUAAGUCCAAUGUGGCUGAUAGAAUAUUGCAUCACUCUUUUCUUGCGAGUGCCAGGUAAGACACCAGCGUACCAAAAUUGCAGUCCAUAUGUGCUGGCAAGAUGGAGGGCCGAGUAGCUCAAACGUGUGACCUGUUCUUCCAAUUUUGUAAUUAUUUGAUGAGUGUUGGAUUUUCUAGGCUGAAAAGAUGACAAUGAAGCUGAGAGAAGAGAGCAUGACUACAACCCAGGAGCGGAUGUGCAAUAAGAGAUGAUAUGGCUUCUUCACAGAAACAUCUUUUGGUCCUUUUUCCUUCAUAUGACCAACCAUUGGCCAGGUUCUACUAUCCUGAAGUAAUAGAACACAACACCCGGUUCACAUAAUAUCUUUGUCGUUUUCCUGUUCUGUAAAAAAUAUAUUGUUUAAAGGAUGAUCAACUGUGGUUAAAAACCUGUACAUCCUUUGCUGCGCUA